UCAUGGCUCAGAUUGAACGCUGGCGGCAGGCCUAACACAUGCAAGUCGAACGGUAACAGGAAGCAGCUUGCUGCUUUGCUGACGAGUGGCGGACGGGUGAGUAAUGUCUGGGAAACUGCCUGAUGGAGGGGGAUAACUACUGGAAACGGUGGCUAAUACCGCAUAACGUCGCAAGACCAAAGAGGGGGACCUUCGGGCCUCUUGCCAUCAGAUGUGCCCAGAUGGGAUUAGCUUGUUGGUGAGGUAACGGCUCACCAAGGCGACGAUCCCUAGCUGGUCUGAGAGGAUGACCAGCCACACUGGAACUGAGACACGGUCCAGACUCCUACGGGAGGCAGCAGUGGGGAAUAUUGCACAAUGGGCGCAAGCCUGAUGCAGCCAUGCCGCGUGUAUGAAGAAGGCCUUCGGGUUGUAAAGUACUUUCAGCGGGGAGGAAGGUGUUGUGGUUAAUAACCGCAGCAAUUGACGUUACCCGCAGAAGAAGCACCGGCUAACUCCGUGCCAGCAGCCGCGGUAAUACGGAGGGUGCAAGCGUUAAUCGGAAUUACUGGGCGUAAAGCGCACGCAGGCGGUCUGUCAAGUCGGAUGUGAAAUCCCCGGGCUCAACCUGGGAACUGCAUUCGAAACUGGCAGGCUUGAGUCUUGUAGAGGGGGGUAGAAUUCCAGGUGUAGCGGUGAAAUGCGUAGAGAUCUGGAGGAAUACCGGUGGCGAAGGCGGCCCCCUGGACAAAGACUGACGCUCAGGUGCGAAAGCGUGGGGAGCAAACAGGAUUAGAUACCCUGGUAGUCCACGCCGUAAACGAUGUCUACUUGGAGGUUGUGCCCUUGAGGCGUGGCUUCCGGAGCUAACGCGUUAAGUAGACCGCCUGGGGAGUACGGCCGCAAGGUUAAAACUCAAAUGAAUUGACGGGGGCCCGCACAAGCGGUGGAGCAUGUGGUUUAAUUCGAUGCAACGCGAAGAACCUUACCUGGUCUUGACAUCCACAGAAGAAUCCAGAGAUGGAUUUGUGCCUUCGGGAACUGUGAGACAGGUGCUGCAUGGCUGUCGUCAGCUCGUGUUGUGAAAUGUUGGGUUAAGUCCCGCAACGAGCGCAACCCUUAUCCUUUGUUGCCAGCGGUUAGGCCGGGAACUCAAAGGAGACUGCCAGUGAUAAACUGGAGGAAGGUGGGGAUGACGUCAAGUCAUCAUGGCCCUUACGACCAGGGCUACACACGUGCUACAAUGGCGCAUACAAAGAGAAGCGACCUCGCGAGAGCAAGCGGACCUCAUAAAGUGCGUCGUAGUCCGGAUUGGAGUCUGCAACUCGACUCCAUGAAGUCGGAAUCGCUAGUAAUCGUGGAUCAGAAUGCCACGGUGAAUACGUUCCCGGGCCUUGUACACACCGCCCGUCACACCAUGGGAGUGGGUUGCAAAAGAAGUAGGUAGCUUAACCUUCGGGAGGGCGCUUACCACUUUGUGAUUCAUGACUGGGGUGAAGUCGUAACAAGGUAACCGUAGGGGAACCUGCGGUUGGAUCACCUCCUUACCUUAAAGAA
This 1536-nucleotide ribosomal RNA is filed under the name Salmonella enterica subsp. enterica serovar Enteritidis. RNAcentral's name for it is "bacterial SSU rRNA". It matches the Rfam family "Bacterial small subunit ribosomal RNA". Lineage: Bacteria; Pseudomonadati; Pseudomonadota; Gammaproteobacteria; Enterobacterales; Enterobacteriaceae. The record is from RNAcentral.